RNAcentral lists this ribosomal RNA (879 nucleotides) under Lacticaseibacillus paracasei. Its description in RNAcentral is "bacterial SSU rRNA". It matches the Rfam family "Bacterial small subunit ribosomal RNA", at positions 29 to 872 of the family's 1533-position model. The record is from RNAcentral. Lineage: Bacteria; Bacillati; Bacillota; Bacilli; Lactobacillales; Lactobacillaceae.
AUGAACGCUGGCGGCGUGCCUAAUACAUGCAAGUCGAACGAGUUCUCGUUGAUGAUCGGUGCUUGCACCGAGAUUCAACAUGGAACGAGUGGCGGACGGGUGAGUAACACGUGGGUAACCUGCCCUUAAGUGGGGGAUAACAUUUGGAAACAGAUGCUAAUACCGCAUAGAUCCAAGAACCGCAUGGUUCUUGGCUGAAAGAUGGCGUAAGCUAUCGCUUUUGGAUGGACCCGCGGCGUAUUAGCUAGUUGGUGAGGUAAUGGCUCACCAAGGCGAUGAUACGUAGCCGAACUGAGAGGUUGAUCGGCCACAUUGGGACUGAGACACGGCCCAAACUCCUACGGGAGGCAGCAGUAGGGAAUCUUCCACAAUGGACGCAAGUCUGAUGGAGCAACGCCGCGUGAGUGAAGAAGGCUUUCGGGUCGUAAAACUCUGUUGUUGGAGAAGAAUGGUCGGCAGAGUAACUGUUGUCGGCGUGACGGUAUCCAACCAGAAAGCCACGGCUAACUACGUGCCAGCAGCCGCGGUAAUACGUAGGUGGCAAGCGUUAUCCGGAUUUAUUGGGCGUAAAGCGAGCGCAGGCGGUUUUUUAAGUCUGAUGUGAAAGCCCUCGGCUUAACCGAGGAAGCGCAUCGGAAACUGGGAAACUUGAGUGCAGAAGAGGACAGUGGAACUCCAUGUGUAGCGGUGAAAUGCGUAGAUAUAUGGAAGAACACCAGUGGCGAAGGCGGCUGUCUGGUCUGUAACUGACGCUGAGGCUCGAAAGCAUGGGUAGCGAACAGGAUUAGAUACCCUGGUAGUCCAUGCCGUAAACGAUGAAUGCUAGGUGUUGGAGGGUUUCCGCCCUUCAGUGCCGCAGCUAACGCAUUAAGCAUCCGC